RNAcentral lists this long non-coding RNA (2283 nucleotides) under Prunus dulcis (almond). RNAcentral describes it as "sRNA ncRNA". The record is from RNAcentral. Lineage: Eukaryota; Viridiplantae; Streptophyta; Magnoliopsida; Rosales; Rosaceae.
UUGACUUGAGUUAUUUUCAUUCAAUUUUAAGGUACAGUGAUCUGACGGUCUCUUUUGCAGCAUGUCUGUCGUGACUAUGAGAGAGAAUAUUCAAAGAGUAGAGAAAAGGAAAGAGAAAAGGGGCGUGAUAAGGAUAUGGACAGGGACAGAGAUAGAGAUAGGAGGAGAAGCAAGGACAAAGAUAGGGAAAGGGACAGAGACAGGAACAGGGAAUAGGGAAUAGGGAAAAGGGACCGAGAUAGGGAAAGAGAAAGGUCUCGAGACAGGGAUCAUGAUCGUCGUCAUAGGGACCGCCACAGGGAUCGUGAGAGAAGCGAGCAGAGGAGAGAUAAGGACGACGUCGAUGAUGAUCACUACCGUGUUCGGGACUUUGAUAGGUAUAAAUUUUUUAGCUAUUUAUUUACUUGUAAAAUGAAUGUUCUGUUGUGUACUGUCAACUGAGUUAGAUGCAAACUGGAAUUUUUUUAUAUUGAUAGUAACUUGUGUGUGAAUUAAUCGGGGGAAGCUUGUCCGUAUUUUAAAUUUCUUUAUUCUUGAAACAAAUCCUUUGAAUUCUUGCGCUAUUAUUUCUGUUAUGAUUAUUAUGAUUAUUUAUGAAUUGAUUUUACAGGUGGAGGGAUUAUGACAGAGACAGGGAGCAUAGGCAUUAGGCGCUAGUCUCGGUCUUGUUUGAGGGGUAGAUCUGAGCACAGAUUGAGUUCACAUUCUCGAUCACGGUCAAAAAGGUAGUUGUUUGAGAGAUUAGUAUGUGAAUGUGGAUCAAAAAAUGCGUUUGAAUCUUAAGGGCUCCUAACUCUUGUUGCAAAUCCUAUAUUUGGAUUAAACACUUUGUUGACUUUUAUUUUCAUUCAAAUUUUGUUUUGCCUUACUCUUGGGUCUCUUUAUUGACCAAAUUAUUGUCAAGUCAUUUUGUUGGCUUGAGUCAUACUAUUUGACAAUGUAGGAUGUAGCUGCAUGGAUUCCAUUAGUUUCAGUCUUAGAACUAAAGGUCUGACUGAUUCCAUUAGUUUCAGGCUUAGAUCUAAUUCAUCAUUUGGCAUAACAAAUCAAAAAUAAACAGACAGAAUAAUUCAACUUACAGAGUAAUCAAGAAGCUCAAACAGUGUAAUUAUUAAGAAGCUCAAAGUUUGAAUAAUUCAUAGAAUAAUUGAAUUCAAAUAAUUCAUAGAAUAAUUCAACUUACACAGUAAUCAAGCAGCUUAAAGUUGAGAUCUGAAUUGGAGGGAAAUCAGAGCAAAUGUGAUAUGCACUGUAUCGGUGAUCUGAAAAGUUGAGAUCUGAAUUAAUUUGCACUGUGUCGGUGAUCUGAAAUGUUGAGAUCUGAAAUGUUGAGAUCUGAAUUGGAGGGAAAUCAGAGCAAAUGUAGUGAUCUGAAAAGUUGAACCCGAUCCGACCCAAUCACAAAUGGAUUUACUAUUUGGAAAUCAGAAUGUUCUCUUCGAAAGAUUAUAUAUAUGUUUUGGUUUUCCAAAACUACUAAAACCUGAACCCAGUGGGAACUGUAGCAAUUGCAUCGUAAAAAUGGAGCAUAUCUAGAUAGGUAAGUUGCGGAGCUUAGGCAUAAGUCAAUAGUCGCAUCGUUAAGGAGGUUUUUUCACCCCCUCUUUUGAAAGGUUUAAUGGGUAAUUUAAGGGUAUGUAAUUUAUUAUUAUUAUUAUUUUUUUGUAGUGAAGAAAUUUACUAACUAUUUGUAUGUAUGCAACCUUGAUUUCUGUUUGUAUGUGUUUUCCUGAGGCUUAAUUUGGUGUGUUUUACUUGUAUGCACUUCACCCUUAUCUUAAUUUGUUCGUAUUUUCCCUUUUAAACAGACCAGUGGACAAUUUCAAGUGCGGAAGUACCAUGUCAAUGUAAUGAACUAAAUAAUAGCCCAAUACAAAUGGGCGUUAUUGGCAAAGACUUUAUAGUUUUUAACCAAAGAGGGUUUACUCUUCCUAGUGAAAUGCAGUCAUGAGCAGCGAUGGAGGCUUCCCCGAGUCCAAUACCCCAACAUGGUAUAAUCGAAUUGAAGGCCCGGUCCAUAAAGCCUACAAAACUGGCUCCAUCACGGGGUUAUGGCUCAUACCAUGAUUUGUGGAUUUUAUUUUAUCUUAUUUUUUUUGCCAAAGAUUUUUCUCAUUUGUUUAUAGCAUAUGAUUUGGAUCAUGAUUUUUCUAUUUGGUUGUUAAAUUUACAUUGUAUAUGUAAUGUUUCAAGAUUUUUUCAAUUUAGGGCCCAUUGAUCACCAUUUUAAUUUUAGUUUUUAGUGUUUAUUUUUUGUGCUUAAGAGUAUAGAGGAAAAUGAGU